This 2285-nucleotide ribosomal RNA is filed under the name Escherichia coli. RNAcentral's name for it is "bacterial LSU rRNA". It matches the Rfam family "Bacterial large subunit ribosomal RNA", at positions 551 to 2819 of the family's 2925-position model. Lineage: Bacteria; Pseudomonadati; Pseudomonadota; Gammaproteobacteria; Enterobacterales; Enterobacteriaceae. The record is from RNAcentral.
UGAAACCGUGUACGUACAAGCAGUGGGAGCACAGAGCAAUCUGUGUGACUGCGUACCUUUUGUAUAAUGGGUCAGCGACUUAUAUUCUGUAGCAAGGUUAACCGAAUAGGGGAGCCGAAGGGAAACCGAGUCUUAACUGGGCGUUAAGUUGCAGGGUAUAGACCCGAAACCCGGUGAUCUAGCCAUGGGCAGGUUGAAGGUUGGGUAACACUAACUGGAGGACCGAACCGACUAAUGUUGAAAAAUUAGCGGAUGACUUGUGGCUGGGGGUGAAAGGCCAAUCAAACCGGGAGAUAGCUGGUUCUCCCCGAAAGCUAUUUAGGUAGCGCCUCGUGAAUUCAUCUCCGGGGGUAGAGCACUGUUUCGGCAAGGGGGUCAUCCCGACUUACCAACCCGAUGCAAACUGCGAAUACCGGAGAAUGUUAUCACGGGAGACACACGGCGGGUGCUAACGUCCGUCGUGAAGAGGGAAACAACCCAGACCGCCAGCUAAGGUCCCAAAGUCAUGGUUAAGUGGGAAACGAUGUGGGAAGGCCCAGACAGCCAGGAUGUUGGCUUAGAAGCAGCCAUCAUUUAAAGAAAGCGUAAUAGCUCACUGGUCGAGUCGGCCUGCGCGGAAGAUGUAACGGGGCUAAACCAUGCACCGAAGCUGCGGCAGCGACGCUUAUGCGUUGUUGGGUAGGGGAGCGUUCUGUAAGCCUGUGAAGGUGUGCUGUGAGGCAUGCUGGAGGUAUCAGAAGUGCGAAUGCUGACAUAAGUAACGAUAAAGCGGGUGAAAAGCCCGCUCGCCGGAAGACCAAGGGUUCCUGUCCAACGUUAAUCGGGGCAGGGUGAGUCGACCCCUAAGGCGAGGCCGAAAGGCGUAGUCGAUGGGAAACAGGUUAAUAUUCCUGUACUUGGUGUUACUGCGAAGGGGGGACGGAGAAGGCUAUGUUGGCCGGGCGACGGUUGUCCCGGUUUAAGCGUGUAGGCUGGUUUUCCAGGCAAAUCCGGAAAAUCAAGGCUGAGGCGUGAUGACGAGGCACUACGGUGCUGAAGCAACAAAUGCCCUGCUUCCAGGAAAAGCCUCUAAGCAUCAGGUAACAUCAAAUCGUACCCCAAACCGACACAGGUGGUCAGGUAGAGAAUACCAAGGCGCUUGAGAGAACUCGGGUGAAGGAACUAGGCAAAAUGGUGCCGUAACUUCGGGAGAAGGCACGCUGAUAUGUAGGUGAAGUCCCUCGCGGAUGGAGCUGAAAUCAGUCGAAGAUACCAGCUGGCUGCAACUGUUUAUUAAAAACACAGCACUGUGCAAACACGAAAGUGGACGUAUACGGUGUGACGCCUGCCCGGUGCCGGAAGGUUAAUUGAUGGGGUCAGCGCAAGCGAAGCUCUUGAUCGAAGCCCCGGUAAACGGCGGCCGUAACUAUAACGGUCCUAAGGUAGCGAAAUUCCUUGUCGGGUAAGUUCCGACCUGCACGAAUGGCGUAAUGAUGGCCAGGCUGUCUCCACCCGAGACUCAGUGAAAUUGAACUCGCUGUGAAGAUGCAGUGUACCCGCGGCAAGACGGAAAGACCCCGUGAACCUUUACUAUAGCUUGACACUGAACAUUGAGCCUUGAUGUGUAGGAUAGGUGGGAGGCUUUGAAGUGUGGACGCCAGUCUGCAUGGAGCCGACCUUGAAAUACCACCCUUUAAUGUUUGAUGUUCUAACGUUGACCCGUAAUCCGGGUUGCGGACAGUGUCUGGUGGGUAGUUUGACUGGGGCGGUCUCCUCCUAAAGAGUAACGGAGGAGCACGAAGGUUGGCUAAUCCUGGUCGGACAUCAGGAGGUUAGUGCAAUGGCAUAAGCCAGCUUGACUGCGAGCGUGACGGCGCGAGCAGGUGCGAAAGCAGGUCAUAGUGAUCCGGUGGUUCUGAAUGGAAGGGCCAUCGCUCAACGGAUAAAAGGUACUCCGGGGAUAACAGGCUGAUACCGCCCAAGAGUUCAUAUCGACGGCGGUGUUUGGCACCUCGAUGUCGGCUCAUCACAUCCUGGGGCUGAAGUAGGUCCCAAGGGUAUGGCUGUUCGCCAUUUAAAGUGGUACGCGAGCUGGGUUUAGAACGUCGUGAGACAGUUCGGUCCCUAUCUGCCGUGGGCGCUGGAGAACUGAGGGGGGCUGCUCCUAGUACGAGAGGACCGGAGUGGACGCAUCACUGGUGUUCGGGUUGUCAUGCCAAUGGCACUGCCCGGUAGCUAAAUGCGGAAGAGAUAAGUGCUGAAAGCAUCUAAGCACGAAACUUGCCCCGAGAUGAGUUCUCCCUGAC